RNAcentral lists this ribosomal RNA (460 nucleotides) under uncultured bacterium. Its description in RNAcentral is "partial 16S ribosomal RNA". It matches the Rfam family "Bacterial small subunit ribosomal RNA", at positions 338 to 795 of the family's 1533-position model. The record is from RNAcentral.
CCUACGGGAGGCUGCAGUGAGGAAUAUUGGUCAAUGGACGAGAGUCUGAACCAGCCAAGUAGCGUGAAGGAUGACUGCCCUAUGGGUUGUAAACUUCUUUUAGAAAGGAAUAAAACGAGGCAAGUGUGCCUUUUUGCAUGGACUUUAUGCAUAAGGGUAGGCUAACUCAGGGCCAGCAGCCGCGGUAAUACGGGGGUGCCGAGCGUUAUCCGGAUUGAUUGGGUUUAAGGGGAGCGUAGAUGGGUUGUUAAGUCAGUUGUGAAAGUUUGCGGCUCAACCGGAAAAUUGCAAUUGAUACUGGCAGUCUUGAGUACAGUUGAGGUAGGCGGAAUUCGUGGUGUAGCGGUGAAAUGCGUAGAUAUCACGAAGAACCCCGAUUGCGAAGGCAGCUUACUAAACUGUGACUGACAUUGAUGCUCGAAAGUGUGGGUAUCAAACAGGAUUAGAUACCCGUGUAGUC